Molecule: ribosomal RNA, 559 nt
Filed under: uncultured bacterium
Lineage: Bacteria
Description: bacterial SSU rRNA
Rfam family: Bacterial small subunit ribosomal RNA
Source: RNAcentral
CGGAAUCUGCCUAUUUGUGGGGGAUAACGUAGGGAAACUUACGCUAAUACCGCAUACGACCUACGGGUGAAAGCGGAGGACCUUCGGGCUUCGCGCAGAUAGAUGAGCCGACGUCGGAUUAGCUAGUUGGCGGGGUAAAGGCCCACCAAGGCGACGAUCCGUAGCUGGUCUGAGAGGAUGAUCAGCCACACUGGAACUGAGACACGGUCCAGACUCCUACGGGAGGCAGCAGUGGGGAAUAUUGGACAAUGGGCGCAAGCCUGAUCCAGCCAUGCCGCGUGGGUGAAGAAGGCCUUCGGGUUGUAAAGCCCUUUUGUUGGGAAAGAAAAGCAGUCGGUUAAUACCCGAUUGUUCUGACGGUACCCAAAGAAUAAGCACCGGCUAACUUCGUGCCAGCAGCCGCGGUAAUACGAAGGGUGCAAGCGUUACUCGGAAUUACUGGGCGUAAAGCGUGCGUAGGUGGUUUGUUAAGUCUGAUGUGAAAGCCCUGGGCUCAACCUGGGAAUUGCAUUGGAUACUGGCAGGCUAGAGUGCGGUAGAGGGUAGUGGAAUUCCCGGU